RNAcentral lists this transfer RNA (74 nucleotides) under Mesorhizobium sp. M4B.F.Ca.ET.089.01.1.1. RNAcentral describes it as "tRNA-Asp". It matches the Rfam family "tRNA". From Rfam's summary of the family: Transfer RNA (tRNA) molecules are approximately 80 nucleotides in length. The record is from RNAcentral. Lineage: Bacteria; Pseudomonadati; Pseudomonadota; Alphaproteobacteria; Hyphomicrobiales; Phyllobacteriaceae.
GGUGUAGCUCAGUCGGUUAGAGUGCCGGCCUGUCACGCCGGAGGUCGCGGGUUCGAGCCCCGUCACUCGCGCCA